GGGAGACUACCACCAUCAGGUCGUGCAUUUUGAAGGCCAUGUCGUAUAUUGCUGUUGUUGUUGUUGUGGAGACUCAGUUCUCCUGAAAGUAUACCUCCUGUCUUAUACUUGGUUAUAUCAGCUUUUUGUAUGGUUACAGAGCUUCGCCAGACGCGGUUAAUGCUGGUUGGUUUCCCAGCAGGAUAUUUUCUUUUAGUAUACCAGUUAGAGUACUUUUGAG
This 220-nucleotide unclassified non-coding RNA is filed under the name Hevea brasiliensis (rubber tree). Lineage: Eukaryota; Viridiplantae; Streptophyta; Magnoliopsida; Malpighiales; Euphorbiaceae. The record is from RNAcentral.